This 23-nucleotide non-coding RNA is filed under the name Arabidopsis thaliana (thale cress). Lineage: Eukaryota; Viridiplantae; Streptophyta; Magnoliopsida; Brassicales; Brassicaceae. The record is from RNAcentral.
GAGAACACUACAUAAGGCAAUGG